AAGAAUUAUUGCCAUGAAAUAAGAACAUAACACGGUGAAAUUAAAAAUUAUCACACUCUCAAACAAUAUUAAAGUGUUUCGUCGUUCAUAAAAGUUAAAAGUCAUAAUCCAGCUAAAUUGAUUUUGUCAUGUUGACACUUAUUAUAUUUCUGGUGGUUCCUUGUUUUAACGAGGCUAAUCUGAGAUGCAUUUAUGGGGACAGACCGAUUUGUGGAAGUGACGGAAUCACAUAUUUAAACUUAUGUGAUUUGCAAAUAAUACGUACUGUCCACCCUUACGUGUACGUAAGACACAUAGGGCAGUGCGCAAUCGGUAAACAACUCGUCGCCUUAAAUCAACAAAUGAAAUCCUUGGGAUCGCCAAACGGAGGAUAUUUGCGAUAUAGGAAAAAAAAGUACCGUCGGCCUUCUCAACCGAGUCCGAAUGAAGAAGAUGGCGAUUUAAAAGAGAUGUUUUUUACCAAACUGUAUAGUUCGAUGCUUCAGUUAAGCGCCUUUGAAAACUUUAACAUGGUGAACAAUAGUAUAGCGACGAGCGGAAACAACAAUUUAUUCGAGAUAAGUUUCGGCAAUUCCAAACAAAAUAAAGAAACGAGGUCUGAGGUGGCAAAUGAGGUUGAGUUAGCUUUUUAGACAUUUUAAUACUAAUAUCCAUACUUUUCCCCUGAGUAGAAACUCUGUUAGCUCGAAGUCUUUACUAAAUUUUCUAAUUAUAAUAAACUUAACAGUUUUUUUUAAAAAUCGUAUAUUUUUACUAAGAUUUAAUUAAGACAAAGCACACAGUUUUCCCUUGUUCCUACAAUCGAAUCUGUUAUCAUUGCCGGGAUCGUAGUAGCUAAAGUCGAAUAAUUUCUUAUUUCCAUUUUUAGGUUUAUUGUCACUCAGAGUCAUGCAAACACCAUUGUAUUUGUAGAAUAUGCUUUUGUGACUUUCCUUGUCAACAUUUAAAUAACAGAUAUUAGUAUAGGUUUUUUCAUUACUACCACACACGGGUGAAUACAUUUGGCACACCCUUUUACAUUUUCCUUUAUGGAGCACUUGCAGCGAGGGAUCUCGUUUCUGGGCAUCGAAGUAGCGACUUUUUGAAGAGAAUGUUUCAAAAUUUGACGCACACAAUGGCCCAUUUUUAAAAGUCGGUAGCGGCAACAGAGAACAUACAGCAUAAGAAAUAAUUGUAUAAAAUAAAAACACUAAAAAAAGCAAUAAAAUAGUAGAUUAUUAUAACGUACCAUACAUGUGUACAUUUCAAUCUAUUGGAUUUGUACAAAACAAUUAAAAUUGACUAAAUGUCUUACCAGUUUUUAUCAUUUUACACAUUUAGGAACGUUUUCAAGUUUCCUUAAAAAGUGAGUGCAGUCUGUCUCAUGUACUCGUACCUUUUGUGAUUAAAUGAGAAUUUUAUAGGCCAUUAAAUAAUUAUACUAGUGUAUAAUUGCUUCAGCCAAUUUAUUAACAAUCGAAGCCAAGUCUCUGCUUUAAGAUAUAUGCCCAAUAUAAAUAUAUAUGCGAAAUAUUAACUUGGUUAACUUGGUUUUUUCCAUUUUUGUCAUGUACCAUGUCUUUAUGUUGCAUCAAGUAAGUAAAUGGUUUUCGGUAUUACCUAACUCAUCAUUAACAUGGCUUCUGGGGUAUAUUAUUGCGGUGUUUUAUGGAAGAUACACAUAAAUCUAACUAUUAGUCCCGAAUAAGAUCAUUAUCACUGAGCGAAAGACAUACACGUUGUUACGAAAAUAUCUGUGGAAAGAUAAGCAAAGCGCCAAUUCAGCCCAAAUUGAGCAAGAAAAUAAUCAGUAUGUAGGUUGUAUUACAUAUUACAUUUGAGGCUUAGAAAACAACGAGAUAAAUAUCGUCCUCUCGCAACAAUCUCAGAAUACUUGCAAAAUAACACCCACGCACCACGUUCAAUACAUGUACAUAUCGAUGCGAAGUGAAACAUAAACAUAAAUUUAUUAACUCCUUUCUCUUCGAACUUACUUUACAGAAGAACCUCAACGUUCCUGUUGCUUUAGCGGCGUGUAUCUACAGUUACACUUGUUUUUAUAAUAUACUAGGGCUGUACCAAGGACAAAUUUAAAUGCAUUUCCAAUAAUACCUAGAUAAUGACAUGUUUUCAUUUUAAUCAAAGCGAGGCACGUUCAUCCGGCAAUUCUCAGUAUAAUAACGCGUAUUAUAUAAGGAAUGCGGCCGGUUAUAACAAAUGCCCGUAUAGCCGUGCUUCAAGAGACCUGCUUUGCAUUAUUUAUGCACAAGCAUCGUAAAUAUGACACACGAUAUAUCAAACAAUCAUAUUGGUAUAAACAUAUUAGUUCAAUGAAUUUCGGGGCUAUUUUUUGUUGGCCCAGCUUAUAUUGAUGUAGAAUAUAACUCGAUUUGCUGAGUGAGUUAAGGAAUUAAUGUUAUUUUCCAUGUGAAAUACCAUAAGUUCACACCAACACUCCAAUUGUGUGGUGGUGGCCUUGUGAAGUGUUAUUGGGUAUGUAAUUUUAAAAAUUAUUCUCAUGUAGGUAUAAUUAUCCGCACUAAGUUUUGGUGUUCAAUUAUAAUCAUUUUUGUCACUGUUUCCUAUGUAAGGUGUUGCUGGAAAGACUAACUCUUCCGCAUACCGCCUUUUCUCAGUAGUUGAAUAAUAUACACGACACAACGAAAUCGAUUUGUUACCAUUUUAAAUAAAUAAGUGUUAAAUAUCAAGUAAAUGCGAAUAAUUAUAAUCACGAUGGAAUAAUAUUUCAUAGAUUUCGUAACAAAACGUGAAUCAUUUGCAUGAUUUACGCGAGAAAUACACGACUAUCAUUUAAUUGUGUUUUUGUACACGAAAUUAUUUUAUUGUUAGGCUAUUUGAGGAUUAAUCAGCAUUCCCUGUAAGUGUGGCCGCUGUCGGGUUUAUACUCUUAAGGAAAAUUCAAAAUGCUUCAGGCAAGCGAGAUGAGGAAUUCUAUUUUAGUUUGAAUAAUUUAAUGACUCGAAUUCAACCCUUUAUACCGAAAUAAGACACUAUAUAAAGACUAUAGACUUAAAUGACAUUGAUGUUCAUGAUAUUUUAAUUGAAAAUAAAAUAAAUUAGUUAA
Long non-coding RNA from Pieris brassicae (large cabbage white), 3064 nucleotides. RefSeq lists it as uncharacterized. NCBI's taxonomy places the organism in Eukaryota, Metazoa, Arthropoda, Insecta, Lepidoptera, Pieridae. The transcript is spliced from 5 exons. The record is from RefSeq and is a predicted model, not a curated record.